Molecule: long non-coding RNA, 403 nt
Filed under: Homo sapiens (human)
Lineage: Eukaryota; Metazoa; Chordata; Mammalia; Primates; Hominidae
Description: uncharacterized LOC105376805, transcript variant 3 (LOC105376805)
Source: RNAcentral
GCUUCUACUGGUGAUAUGGGAAGGGCCCACUCACUGAACUAACUCCCUUCCCUCUACUCCCAGAGCCCGCCCGGCAGGACCACCGAGCAAGGCCUUGGAAAACCAGAGAGAUUAGAGCGCAGAAUGGGGAAAUGGAGAGAGAACCUGAAAGAGCCCCAAACUCGAGGACCUAUUGCUCCCCAAGAAUAACAUCUUCCAGAAGAACUAGACAGAAAACUAGGCGUCUGGGAACUCUGAAAUCCUUGGAGGAGUAGCAUCAUCAUGACCCUCUGUGUUCCUUUUGGCAAAGGACUUGCUCCCAUUGUUUGCUUGUUCCAUUGUCUGUCUGUUAAAUAAAUAAAACCCUUUUCAUAUAUCUUUAAACUUAAAAAAAAAAAAAAAAAAAAAAAAAAAAAAAAAAAAA